This 240-nucleotide unclassified non-coding RNA is filed under the name Paraglomerales sp. Its description in RNAcentral is "partial contains 5.8S ribosomal RNA and internal transcribed spacer 2". The stretch from base 1 to 65 matches the Rfam family "5.8S ribosomal RNA", at positions 84 to 154 of the family's 154-position model. The record is from RNAcentral. Lineage: Eukaryota; Fungi; Glomeromycota; Glomeromycetes; Paraglomerales.
GUGAAUCAUCAAAUUUUUGAACGCAAAUUGCGCCUUUUUCGGAAGGCAUGUCUGUUUGAGGGCCCCAUUUAACAAAUAAUGUGCAUUUCGUGUGCACACGUUGAUGAGCUUUCCAAAUUUAUGUAUUAUUUUUGUUUGCGCAUAAUACACAGCACGAUGCUUUUUUUCAGUUCGAGUGUGGUAAAAUUUUUUCUUGCUUGGGUUGUGAAAAGCGUUCGCGCGCAAUGGGUGUGGACAUUU